This 737-nucleotide long non-coding RNA is filed under the name Equus asinus (donkey). Its description in RNAcentral is "lncRNA (ENSEASG00005027321.1)". Lineage: Eukaryota; Metazoa; Chordata; Mammalia; Perissodactyla; Equidae. The record is from RNAcentral.
GCUGAGCAGGUGGAGGGGAGAGAGACUGCAUGCGGUCCCGGAUCCCAGUCUUUCGUGGAGUGAGAGAUUCCAGGCAGGGAAGUAACGUGCCUGACAUCCACGGAACCAGUUCCUCCCAGAGGUGGCACUGCUGACUCUCUGUUCACAGCCACUUACACUACCAUCCCUGCAGAAAUGGGGUGCUACAGAGAAUGUCCUUAGCAAACUUUCAGAGACAAGGCUAUUUUAGAGCGCAAGAGCAAAAACCCAUUCAACCUGGCAAAAAUCACAGAGUCUUAGAAAGAAUCAGGAUCUUACAGAGCUCCAGUCAGGCCUCAUUGGGAACUGGAACCAGCAAUUGGAAAAGCAGCAGGAACCUAGACAGUUAUUGUCCCUCGUGUGGGUGUGUGUAUGUGUCUCCAGGCUACUUUCUCUCUGCUUCCCUUUGCACACGAAGCUGCUGGAGCAGGAACCUGGUCAGCCCUUUCGGUCAGGUGUCCACCCCUUCUCCCUCCAGGAACGAGCAGGGAGCGGAGCCAGUUGUAGAAACAUGGGAAGAAAGUUUGAGGACGGUGGCUAACUGCCGCUGGGGACCUACGUCAGAGCUUGAACUGACCUCCCCUCAAGGGUUCUCAUAUGGGCACAGAACCUAGAGCUCAUUCAGUGCAACGCCCUCAUGUUCCUGGGUGUCUGUCACCGGUUCUGUGUCUACUGAUGCGCAGGCAUAAAUCUCCAAUUUUUCAACAACUUAUUUACAG